This 69-nucleotide transfer RNA is filed under the name Marmota marmota marmota (Alpine marmot). It matches the Rfam family "tRNA". From Rfam's summary of the family: Transfer RNA (tRNA) molecules are approximately 80 nucleotides in length. RNAcentral also lists the same sequence under 2 other names. The record is from Rfam by way of RNAcentral. Lineage: Eukaryota; Metazoa; Chordata; Mammalia; Rodentia; Sciuridae.
GGCAUUGUGGCUCAGUGGUAGAGCACUUGCCUCGCAUGUGUGAGGUACUGGGUUCAAUCCUCAGCACCA